AGUGAACGCUGGCGGUAGGCCUAACACAUGCAAGUCGAACGGCAGCACAGUAAGAGCUUGCUCUUACGGGUGGCGAGUGGCGGACGGGUGAGGAAUACAUCGGAAUCUACUUUUUCGUGGGGGAUAACGUAGGGAAACUUACGCUAAUACCGCUUACGACCUACGGGUGAAAGCAGGGGAUCUUCGGACCUUGCGCGAUUGAAUGAGCCGAUGUCGGAUUAGCUAGUUGGCGGGGUAAAGGCCCACCAAGGCGACGAUCCGUAGCUGGUCUGAGAGGAUGAUCAGCCACACUGGAACUGAGACACUGUCCAGACUCCUGCGGGAGGCAGCAGUGGGGAAUAUUGGACAAUGGGCGCAAGCCUGAUCCAGCCAUACCGCGUGGGUGAAGAAGGCCUUCGGGUUGUAAAGCCCUUUUGUUGGGAAAGAAAAGCAGCAGGUUAAUACCCCGCUGUUCUGACGGUACCCAAAGAAUAAGCACCGGCUAACUUCGUG
This 492-nucleotide ribosomal RNA is filed under the name uncultured bacterium. RNAcentral's name for it is "partial 16S ribosomal RNA". It matches the Rfam family "Bacterial small subunit ribosomal RNA", at positions 29 to 507 of the family's 1533-position model. The record is from RNAcentral.